Molecule: ribosomal RNA, 253 nt
Filed under: uncultured bacterium
Lineage: Bacteria
Description: partial 16S ribosomal RNA
Rfam family: Bacterial small subunit ribosomal RNA
Source: RNAcentral
UACAGAGGGGGCUAGCGUUAUUCGGAAUUAUUGGGCGUAAAGGGCGCGUAGGCGGCCAUGCGUGUCUUCCGUGAAAUCCCUCGGCUUAACUGAGGACGUGCGGAAGAAACUGCAAGGCUCGAGUCCGGGAGAGGGAUGUGGAAUUCCAGGUGUAGCGGUGAAAUGCGUAGAUAUCUGGAGGAACACCGGUGGCGAAGGCGGCAUCCUGGACCGGUAUUGACGCUGAGGAGCGAAAGCCAGGGGAGCAAACGGG